UGGGGAAUUUUGGACAAUGGGCGAAAGCCUGAUCCAGCAAUGCCGCGUGCAGGAUGAAGGCCUUCGGGUUGUAAACUGCUUUUGUACGGAACGAAAAAGCCUCUCCUAAUACGAGAGGCCCAUGACGGUACCGUAAGAAUAAGCACCGGCUAACUACGUGCCAGCAGCCGCGGUAAUACGUAGGGUGCGAGCGUUAAUCGGAAUUACUGGGCGUAAAGCGUGCGCAGGCGGUUAUGUAAGACAGAUGUGAAAUCCCCGGGCUCAACCUGGGAACUGCAUUUGUGACUGCAUGGCUAGAGUACGGUAGAGGGGGAUGGAAUUCCGCGUGUAGCAGUGAAAUGCGUAGAUAUGCGGAGGAACACCGAUGGCGAAGGCAAUCCCCUGGACCUGUACUGACGCUCAUGCACGAAAGCGUGGGGAGCAAACA
Molecule: ribosomal RNA, 427 nt
Filed under: uncultured bacterium
Lineage: Bacteria
Description: bacterial SSU rRNA
Rfam family: Bacterial small subunit ribosomal RNA
Source: RNAcentral